GACGAACGCUGGCGGCGUGCUUAACACAUGCAAGUCGAACGGAAGGGCCCUGCUUGCAGGGUGCUCGAGUGGCGAACGGGUGAGUAACACGUGGGUGAUCUGCCCCUUACUUUGGGAUAAGCCUGGGAAACUGGGUCUAAUACUGGAUAGGACCAUGCUGUAGGUGGUGUGGUGGAAAGAUUAGUUUCGGUAAGGGAUGAGCUCGCGGCCUAUCAGCUUGUUGGUGGGGUAAUGGCCUACCAAGGCGUCGACGGGUAGCCGGCCUGAGAGGGUGGACGGCCACAUUGGGACUGAGAUACGGCGCAGACUCCUACGGGAGGCAGCAGAGGGGAAUAUUGCACAAUGGGCGCAAGCCUGAUGCAGCGACGCCGCGUGGGGGAUGACGGCCUUCGGGUUGUAAACUCCUUUCAGCCAUGACGAAGCCCUUGUGGUGACGGUAGUGGUAGAAGAAGCACCGGCUAACUACGUG
This 469-nucleotide ribosomal RNA is filed under the name uncultured bacterium. RNAcentral's name for it is "partial 16S ribosomal RNA". It matches the Rfam family "Bacterial small subunit ribosomal RNA", at positions 28 to 507 of the family's 1533-position model. The record is from RNAcentral.